AACGAACGCUGGCGGCAUGCCUAACACAUGCAAGUCGAACGAGACCUUCGGGUCUAGUGGCGCACGGGUGCGUAACGCGUGGGAACCUGCCCUUAGGUUCGGAAUAACUCCCCGAAAGGGGUGCUAAUACGGGAUAAUGUCUUCGGACCAAGGAUUUAUCGCCUUUGGAUGGGCCCGCGUUGGAUUAGCUAGUUGGUAGGGUAAAAGCCUACCAAGGCGACGAUCCAUAGCUGGUCUGAGAGGAUGAUCAGCCACACUGGGACUGAGACACGGCCCAGACUCCUACGGGAGGCAGCAGUGGGGAAUAUUGGACAAUGGGCGAAAGCCUGAUCCAGCAAUGCCGCGUGAGUGAUGAAGGCCUUAGGGUUGUAAAGCUCUUUUACCCGGGAUGAUAAUGACAGUACCGGGAGAAUAAGCUCCGGCUAACUCCGUG
Molecule: ribosomal RNA, 433 nt
Filed under: uncultured bacterium
Lineage: Bacteria
Description: partial 16S ribosomal RNA
Rfam family: Bacterial small subunit ribosomal RNA
Source: RNAcentral